This 157-nucleotide small RNA is filed under the name Bacillus sp. (in: firmicutes). RNAcentral's name for it is "Bacillus sp. c-di-AMP sequence". It matches the Rfam family "c-di-AMP riboswitch aptamer (ydaO/yuaA leader)". Rfam says of the family: This family represents a conserved RNA structure found upstream of the ydaO and yuaA genes in Bacillus subtilis and related genes in other bacteria. The ydaO/yuaA element is thought to act as a genetic "off" switch for the ydaO and yuaA genes in its native state. It is believed that the element may be triggered during osmotic shock leading to activation of ydaO, a predicted amino acid transporter gene, and members of the yuaA-yubG operon which code for KtrA and KtrB K+ transporters. The record is from RNAcentral. Lineage: Bacteria; Bacillati; Bacillota; Bacilli; Caryophanales; Bacillaceae.
GUUGAAUAUGCGCUGAAUUUUCCUAGGAAAAACGGGGGAACCAAUCUUGGCAUACGAUGCCAAAGGGGUGAAUCGGAAGCGGCCAAUAUGGCCGAACCGUAGGGCUACCACAGCCCGAAUCCGCCAGCUAACCUCGUAAGCAAAGGUGGGAUAAUGA